CAGUCGCCGCGGUAAUACGAGGGGGGCAAGCGUUGUUCGGAAUUAUUGGGCGUAAAGGGCGCGUAGGCGGUUUGGCAAGUUUGGUGUGAAAUCUUCGGGCUCAACUCGAAGUCUGCACCGAAAACUGCCGGGCUUGAGUAUGGGAGAGGUGAGUGGAAUUUCCGGUGUAGCGGUGAAAUGCGUAGAUAUCGGAAGGAACACCUGUGGCGAAAGCGGCUCACUGGACCAUUACUGACGCUGAGGCGCGAAAGCUAGGGGAGCAAACAGGAUUAGAUACCCCGGUAGUCCCUGUCUCUUAUAC
This 301-nucleotide ribosomal RNA is filed under the name uncultured bacterium. RNAcentral's name for it is "partial 16S ribosomal RNA". It matches the Rfam family "Bacterial small subunit ribosomal RNA", at positions 509 to 807 of the family's 1533-position model. The record is from RNAcentral.